Long non-coding RNA from Neodiprion fabricii, 382 nucleotides. RefSeq lists it as uncharacterized. The transcript is spliced from 3 exons. The record is from RefSeq and is a predicted model, not a curated record. NCBI's taxonomy places the organism in Eukaryota, Metazoa, Arthropoda, Insecta, Hymenoptera, Diprionidae.
GAAUCGUCGUGACUGGAUUUAACACUGUGUGCUUUUCAGAUGAUGUUGACCAACUGCCAACAAGUAGAGUAUAGGCCAUAUACAGACACGACGCGCAGGUCAACCAAUCAUCCAUCGGUCUGCCUUUUCGUCCCAGAGUUUACUUUGGAAAUUUCAAACUCUACGUUCAUACAGUUUCAAGCACCGUGCAGCCGACACGGCGAAUAUAUCGUUGUAGGAACUCUUAAUCUCGAAUAAUUAGUGCAUACUGUGUAUUCUCAUGGAAAUUAUUUACUGUCAGCAUGAAACUAUACUAUAGCAAACUAUUUAAAAAAAAAAAAAAACUAUCCAAAGCCGAAUAGUUUUAUUGAAGUACCAGUCGAUAUACCAUUUAAAUUAUACU